GAUGAACGCUAGCUACAGGCUUAACACAUGCAAGUCGAGGGGCAGCAUGAACUUAGCUUGCUAAGUUUGAUGGCGACCGGCGCACGGGUGAGUAACACGUAUCCAACCUUCCGUUUACUCAGGGAUAGCCUUUCGAAAGAAAGAUUAAUACCUGAUAGUAUGGUGAGAUUGCAUGAUAACACCAUUAAAGAUUUAUUGGUAAACGAUGGGAUGCGUUCCAUUAGGUAGUAGGCGGGGUAACGGCCCACCUAGCCUGCGAUGGAUAGGGGUUCUGAGAGGAAGGUCCCCCACAUUGGAACUGAGACACGGUCCAAACUCCUACGGGAGGCAGCAGUGAGGAAUAUGGUCAAUGGGCGAGAGCCUGAACCAGCCAAGUAGCGUGAAGGAUGAAGGUCCUACGGAUUGUAAACUUCUUUUAUAC
Molecule: ribosomal RNA, 421 nt
Filed under: uncultured bacterium
Lineage: Bacteria
Description: bacterial SSU rRNA
Rfam family: Bacterial small subunit ribosomal RNA
Source: RNAcentral